RNAcentral lists this ribosomal RNA (120 nucleotides) under Ochotona princeps (American pika). The record is from RNAcentral. Lineage: Eukaryota; Metazoa; Chordata; Mammalia; Lagomorpha; Ochotonidae.
GUCUACGGCCAUACCACCCUGAACGCGCCCAAUCUCAUCUGAUCUCAGAAGCUAAGCAGGGUCGGGCCUGAUUAGUACUUGGAUGGGAGGCAACCAAAUAUUUUUAAGGAACUGAACAUG